RNAcentral lists this unclassified non-coding RNA (195 nucleotides) under plant metagenome. RNAcentral describes it as "partial contains small subunit ribosomal RNA, internal transcribed spacer 1, and 5.8S ribosomal RNA". The record is from RNAcentral.
UCUCCGUUGGUGAACCAGCGGAGGGAUCAUUACCGAGUUUACAACUCCCAAACCCCUGCGAACAUACCAUUUGUUGCCUCGGCGGUGCCUGCUUCGGCAGCCCGCCAGAGGACCCAAACCCUUGAUUUUAUACAGUAUCUUCUGAGUAAAUGAUUAAAUAAAUCAAAACUUUCAACAACGGAUCUCUUGGUUCUG